Molecule: ribosomal RNA, 524 nt
Filed under: Streptococcus dysgalactiae subsp. equisimilis
Lineage: Bacteria; Bacillati; Bacillota; Bacilli; Lactobacillales; Streptococcaceae
Description: bacterial LSU rRNA
Rfam family: Bacterial large subunit ribosomal RNA
Source: RNAcentral
GAUAAGGUUAAGUUAAUAAGGGCGCACGGUGGAUGCCUUGGCACUAGAAGCCGAAGAAGGACGUGACUAACGACGAAAUGCUUUGGGGAGCUGUAAGUAAGCGCUGAUCCAGAGAUGUCCGAAUGGGGGAACCCACUAGCUACUGGCUAGUAUCCAUAACUGUUAAGGUUAUGAGAAGGAAGACGCAGUGAACUGAAACAUCUAAGUAGCUGCAGGAAGAGAAAGCAAACGCGAUUGCCUUAGUAGCGGCGAGCGAAACGGCAGGAGGGCAAACCGAGAAGUUUACUUCUCGGGGUUGUAGGACUGCGACGUGGGACUUUAAAAGGAUAGAAGAAUUACCUGGGAAGGUAAGCCAAAGAGAGUAAUAGCCUCGUAUUUAAAAUUCUUUUGAGCCCUAGCAGUAUCCUGAGUACGGCGAGACACGCGAAAUCUCGUCGGAAUCUGGGAGGACCAUCUCCCAACCCUAAAUACUCUCUAGUGACCGAUAGUGAACCAGUACCGUGAGGGAAAGGUGAAAAGCACCC